RNAcentral lists this ribosomal RNA (905 nucleotides) under Enterobryus sp. CMJ-2003. RNAcentral's name for it is "eukaryotic LSU rRNA". It matches the Rfam family "Eukaryotic large subunit ribosomal RNA", at positions 47 to 667 of the family's 3401-position model. Lineage: Eukaryota; Ichthyosporea; Ichthyophonida; Eccrinaceae. The record is from RNAcentral.
UAAGCGGAGGAAAAGAAACUAACAAGGAUUCCCCUAGUAACUGCGAGUGAAGCGGGAAAAGCUCAAGUUUCAAAGCUCCACGGUUACCGUGCGCGUUGUAGACUGAAGGGGCGCUAUCUUUUUGCAUGGCCCGGGUAUAGAUCCGUUGGAACGCGGUAUCAUAGAGGGUGAGAAUCCCGUCCAUGACUCGGGGACAAUUCCAUGCAUGUACGUUGCGCUUCCAAAGAGUCGGGUUGUUUGGGAAUGCAGCCCAAAAUGGGUGGUAAACUUCAUCUAAGGCUAAAUAUUGGCACGAGACCGAUAGCGAACAAGUACCGUGAGGAAAGAUGAAAAGCACUUUGAAAAGAGAGUCAAAAAGUACGUGAAACCGUUAAGUGGGAAACGAAUGGGGCUAGCAUUUGUAUCUUGGCCACAAUCAGUCGGACCAUUCGGGACCGGCGUGGCGUUGGGAGCCUUUCGUGUGCGCCGUCAAAAAGCGUAUUAGCGAGGGGCCUCAUGCUGCGACGUGAAUUCUCGGAUGAGCUCGGUGCACUUGUGGUCGGUAUCAGGCCAACAUCAGUUCGGUUGCCAAAGCGGAAGGUUUCGGCCUCCCGUCUUGUUGGACAGGAACCUUUAGGGGAAGGUGGUCACGCCAGGUUCUUCGUCUUCGGGCGAAAGCUUGACGUGACGUUAUAGCCCCUUUAGGAAACACCARGGAGUCGCGGCCCGGACUGAGGAGAUAAAGCAGCACGCUUACUUUGCAGAGUUUCCGCUGGGACGCCGAGCGGUUCGGGACUGUGCCAAAAAAGUGCAGUGUCGGGCGCUUUUUGUGCGUUUCACUCAUACGAGCCACGGAAAUCUACGCGUUACUCGUGCUUGUGAUGUUGGCGAAAUGGCCUUAUCCGACCCGUCUUGAAACACGGACC